UACGUAGGUGGCAAGCGUUGUCCGGAUUUACUGGGCGUAAAGGGCGUGCAGGCGGUUUGGUAAGUGGCGGGUGAAAGCUCCCGGCUCAACUGGGAGAGGUCCUUGCAUACUGGCAAACUCGAGGGAGGCAGAGGAAAGUGGAAUUCCCGGUGUAGUGGUGAUAUGCGUAGAUAUCGGGAGGAACACCUGUGGCGAAGGCGGCUUUCUGGGCCUUACCUGACGCUGAGACGCGAAAGCGUGGGGAGCGAACCGG
Molecule: ribosomal RNA, 253 nt
Filed under: uncultured bacterium
Lineage: Bacteria
Description: partial 16S ribosomal RNA
Rfam family: Bacterial small subunit ribosomal RNA
Source: RNAcentral